UCCUUUUUUUGACAGUUAGAAAGAGAAGUCGGUCCCACCUAUAAGUGAAGAAAUAAAAAAUAACGACUAAAAUAGUCAAAUAAACGAACGAAAUGUACCCAAUUGUAGUAAACACUGCCUCAAAAAUUAAUUGACUACUUGACAUUGUUCUAAAACAACGAUUUCUAGCUAUCUCCAAACUAAUCCUCGAAAUCAAAAUUUUCGUCAUAUUCAUCUUCAAACCUGUAAGACAUCGCAUCAUUAUGAUGACCGAAUAUAACAUCAUCGUCGCCACAAGUGAUCUUCAUUAUGAAGAUUCUUCAUCAUAAUUGCCCUCUUUAGAUCUUUGCAUUUUAGGUGUGGUGGUGUUUUCGUUCUGUGAAUGGUCAUUUCUUCAAGAAUCGAGUUUCAAAUCGAUGUGUGCCAUACCAGAACCUUGUUCCUGAAAUGAUAAUUAACAAAGUUAUGGGAAAUAAUAAAGGGAAAAUUGUAGCAGCGGUACUAAACCUUUCAUUUAUUAGCAGACUUUGCCCAAAUCUUCAUUUUGUG
Molecule: long non-coding RNA, 528 nt
Filed under: Olea europaea subsp. europaea
Lineage: Eukaryota; Viridiplantae; Streptophyta; Magnoliopsida; Lamiales; Oleaceae
Source: RNAcentral